RNAcentral lists this ribosomal RNA (498 nucleotides) under uncultured bacterium. RNAcentral's name for it is "partial 16S ribosomal RNA". It matches the Rfam family "Bacterial small subunit ribosomal RNA", at positions 30 to 523 of the family's 1533-position model. The record is from RNAcentral.
AUUGAACGAUGGCGGCAUGCUCUACACACGCAAGUCGAACGGUAACAUGCCUCAAGGUGCUGACGAGUGGCGAACGGGUGAGUAAUGCAUCGGAACGCGCCCAGUCGUGGGGGAUAACGGAGCGAAAGCUGUGUAACUCCUGCAUACGACGUAGGGAAGAAAGGGGGGGACCGUCAGUCCUCGAUCGAUUGGCGCGGCGGAUGUCAGAUUAGGUAGUUGGUGGGGUAAAGGCUCACCAAGCCAACGAUCUGUAGCUGGUCUGAGAGGACGACCAGCCACACUGGGACUGAGACACGGCCCAGACUCCUACGGGAGGCAGCAGUGGGGAAUUUUGGACAAUGGGCGCAAGCCUGAUCCAGCAAUGCCGCGUGCAGGAAGAAGGCCUUCGGGUUGUAAACUGCUUUUGUACGGAACGAAAAGGUUUGGGUUAAUACCCUGGGCCGAUGACGGUACCGUAAGAAUAAGCACCGGCUAACUACGUGCCAGCCGCCGCCGUAA